AUGGCUGAGAUGCGAGAGAAGCAUGGGGAGCUCACUCACCGCGGCGUCGAAGCGCUGGACGGCGGUCACCGGGAAGUAGCUGCCUUUCUCGAGCUUACUACCCUGCGAGAUAUUUCCUCGAACCUAUCAAUCAGCCACCAUUUCGAGCUGAAUUGCCAUUGUUUCUUGAAAUGUAAGUGUUUCCACACCUGGGCGGUGAAGAUGAGCAUCCAUGUCCUGCCGGGGGACUCGGUCCCGCCGAGGGUCUCGAAGAAGCUGGAGGUGUCGAGCUUGGCCUUCUUGAUCUUGGCCAGCGCCGCCAGCACCUCCGGGGCCGGCACCUUCCUCGUCUUGGCCGCGUCCUUGAGCACCUUCACGCUCUCCGCCACGGCCUGCGCUGAACCAGAACCAAGAAACCAUCUUAAAUGGCAGCCAGAUUGGGGGCAGUUUUUGUCAGCGAGAUGGAGACGGUCGGGCCAUGGCGAUGCUCGCUGCUCACCGAUAGGUCGGAGGGCUCGUCCGAAGGCGCAGGGGGUGACGAGGAGGGCGCCUUCUCGACGUCCGGCGACGCGGCGGCGGCGACGGUCAGCGAGACGCCGCGGGGACGGCGGGGGCUGGAGCGGAGGCCGAGCUGCGGCGGGGCAAGCCCGCGACGCGGCAGGGGCCGCGAGGAGGCUGGAGCGAGCGUGGAAGCGUGGAGCAAGGAUGCGGACGAGGCCAUCUUCUUCCUCCUCUUGCUCGGGCGGUCAGGUUGCUCUGUUCUCGGACGAGGUGCCGAGAUGGUUACCACGAGUUUGGAGUCUCUGCCUCUGUGGCUGUGGAGGAACGAGGGCCGUGUCACCGUCUGAGUGGAGUGGACACUUCUGGCGCACGCGUCGACGAGGCCAUAAUUCCACGGCUUCAACUAAGGCCACAAUUCGAAUGCUUAGGUAG
RNAcentral lists this ribosomal RNA (912 nucleotides) under Triticum aestivum (bread wheat). Its description in RNAcentral is "partial small subunit ribosomal RNA". The record is from RNAcentral. Lineage: Eukaryota; Viridiplantae; Streptophyta; Magnoliopsida; Poales; Poaceae.